UAACCGUUCGACGUUCAUUUAUUCACGUCGGGUGCUAUAGCUCUGUGAAGGAAUCAGCUGCGGCUUCUACAUUACGUAGCCGCGAAAUUGUCAUAGAAAAUUAUUUCCCAACACCAAUAGUCCACCGUCGUACAUUUGACGUCGCGUGAAAGCUGAAUCACUAGCUUCCUUCCAAUGUCACACUGCAUAUAAUCUUGUUUUUAAACAUUAGUUUCACAGAACGAUCGAGCAUACUGCUUCUAUUUCAAUUUGUGUUCUUUUGUUUUAUUUUUUAUUCAUAGCUGUUUGUAUUUUUGUAACAGAAGAAAAGUCAGUGAGCAGAAAUUGUCACAGACACAUUUACUGCACUAACUAAGGAACAGGUCUAUGCUUAAUCAUUUUUGUCGGAGACAAACCGUUCAGGAACCGGUAGCUUGAAUGUUCAGGAAUAUUAAUAGCCAGCGGCGAGGGUGGAACUCGAUGGAAGAAAAGUUUAAUCGAAUUUUAAAGUGGAGGAGGAAUUCAGAAGUUGCUGGGAAUCUUAAGCAGUCGGGCAACUUCCAGCGGUCCUUUGUCACCAGAAUGGUCGCAGGAUUACACUCGUGGAAACAUUAGAGGUUCUCCCGCGCUGCGCGACGGCCAGUAACUCGACCCGAAUUGAAGAACUCCGCUGCGUCUGGAAGUUAGUGAAACUCGAGUGGAAAAGUUUGCCCCGGUAAACGAGAGGGUGAGAACACAUCGCGACCCCGUCACAGUUUCUGCUAUUAUUAUGGAGAAUCACACAGCGGCUGGACCCCGGGGUCAACUCUCCGAAAGGAAACGGAAGGCUUUCCAAGGCCUGAUAAAAGCGACCCUCGUCAAUUUCUGCCAUCCGUCAUAAAAAAAUGUUCUAACAUACUUAUCCCCCUAUUAUACUGUGUAACUUCGAAGUUGUACAACAAUGUAAGAAUUCUUCCAGUCACGUUUUACUCUUCUUGUCAUUUGAAUACUAAAUCAUUAAUCAUAGAUAAAUUUACCUUUGACCUAUC
Long non-coding RNA from Ceratina calcarata, 1007 nucleotides. RefSeq lists it as uncharacterized. The record is from RefSeq and is a predicted model, not a curated record. Lineage: Eukaryota; Metazoa; Arthropoda; Insecta; Hymenoptera; Apidae. The transcript is spliced from 2 exons.